RNAcentral lists this ribosomal RNA (460 nucleotides) under uncultured bacterium. RNAcentral's name for it is "partial 16S ribosomal RNA". It matches the Rfam family "Bacterial small subunit ribosomal RNA", at positions 338 to 795 of the family's 1533-position model. The record is from RNAcentral.
CCUACGGGCGGCAGCAGUGAGGAAUAUUGGUCAAUGGACGGAAGUCUGAACCAGCCAUGCUGCGUGCAGGAAGACGGCUCUAUGAGUUGUAAACUGCUUUUGUACGAGGGUAAACGUAAAUACGUGUAUUCGCCUGAAAGUAUUGUACGAAUAAGGAUCCGCUAACUCCGUGCCAGCAGCCGCGGUAAUACGGAGGAUCCAAGCGUUAUCCGGAUUUAUUGGGUUUAAAGGGUGCGUAGGCGGAAGGAUAAGUUAGAGGUGAAAUGCCCGGGCUAAACUCGGGAAUUGCCUCUGAUACUGUUGAGCUAGAGAGUAGAUGCGGUAGGCGGAAUGUAUGGUGUAGCGGUGAAAUGCUUAGAGAUCAUACAGAACACCGAUUGCGAAGGCAGCUUACCAAGCUAUUUCUGACGUUGAGGCACGAAAGCGUGGGGAGCAAACAGGAUUAGAUACCCGAGUAGUC